Molecule: ribosomal RNA, 253 nt
Filed under: uncultured bacterium
Lineage: Bacteria
Description: partial 16S ribosomal RNA
Rfam family: Bacterial small subunit ribosomal RNA
Source: RNAcentral
UACGUAGGUGGCAAGCGUUGUCCGGAUUUAUUGGGCGUAAAGAGCGUGUAGGCGGCUUGUUAAGUCUUGCGUGAAAUCUCGGGGCUCAACCCCGAGCGGUCGUGAGAAACUGGCAGGCUAGAGUGCGGGAGAGGAGAGUGGAAUUCCUGGUGUAGCGGUGAAAUGCGCAGAUAUCAGGAAGAACACCCGUGGCGAAGGCGGCUCUCUGGAACGCAACUGACGCUGAGACGCGAAAGCGUGGGGAGCAAACAGG